UGGCAGCUUCAGUCAUUGGGCAGCCCUCUCUGCGUGGCUGCGCUCAGUCUGCGCAGUGUUUCAGGGACGGACGCUGCGGCGUAAACACCGCGGAGCUUAGCGGGGAGCAGCAGCGCUGCCGGUCCGCCGGUCCCCCGUUCCCGGUACUUUCUUCCGCCCGCUGCCGCUUUAAGGCGCUGUAGCUCGGGCUGUACCGCCUUAAUAAUGUCGGUGUCAAUCUGGCACGACGCUGAGCCCGAGAAGUGUCCCGUUUUAGCUCAGAGCUAACGAUCGCUAUGUGACUGAAUGGAGGGAGCCGGACCGCGCUGGCGUUAGUUAGCGGAGCUUCUACUCAGCCGUGCCCGGGAGGAACGUCACCAUCCCCGGCCUCGCCGCUGCUACUGUCCCCUGCUUCCCCUGCUCCAGCUGCCCGUCCAAACAAGCAGGAUUUAUGGAAUCCAUCCGGGAGAGGGGAGCAAUAAUAUGUCAAGACGAAAACAGACCAACCCUUUCAAAGUGAAUUGGCCGUUUCACAUGACCGGGUUCUCUGGCCCACAGCACACUUCAGAGAUGGAGGCUCGAAACGAGUUUGCAGAAAACCCAGCGUGCCACAGCAACGACUCCCCUGACCUCGACGAGCAGGACAACAUAACCGAUGAUAGCGACAGUGACCUGGAUAAAGAGAACUCCUCCAGCUCAUCAGUUGAUGACAACAUGACGAGUAGGGGGAGCCAGUGUUCCUUUCAUGGAGACGUGAAGGAGUGAUUUGAUUGUUCACACAAGAAGUAGAUACACAGCGCUGUCUCUGUGUCUGUGUGAGUGACAGCCUGCUGCUGCCUGAGAAGCACAAGGGGGCCAGGGGUGGAGUGAGGAGUAAACACGAGGUAACCGCAUGGCCACAUCCACAUGGUUGGGCACGUGCUAGUAACAUCCAACACCCUGACCUCGCCAAGACCUCCCUUGUCGAAGAAUACAAUAAAAUAUUCACUGCAGUGCUUUUAAUUCUACGU
RNAcentral lists this long non-coding RNA (989 nucleotides) under Astyanax mexicanus (Mexican tetra). RNAcentral's name for it is "lncRNA (ENSAMXG00005009843.1)". The record is from RNAcentral. Lineage: Eukaryota; Metazoa; Chordata; Actinopteri; Characiformes; Acestrorhamphidae.